AUUGUGUUCAUCCUGGAUAUGUACAAACAGACAUUACGUGUAACACAGGACCCUUGACCCCUGAGGAAGGUGCUAGAGCUCCGGUAAUGGUGGCUUUGUUGCCUGAUGGUGCUCCUUCUGGCCUCUACUUUUAUGAGAUGCAAGCAUCCAGUUUUUAAUACAUGUAUAAAUAUAUGCAUAAAUAACAAGGGAAACACCACAUAUAAGAAGGUAUCCAACUUACAUUGAUGUACUUUUAAGAAAUGUGUUGCUUUCUCAUCUUGUAAGAACUUGUAACAUUUGAAAGUUCCAUUGUAUUGAAUAAAUUAUAUGGAUUCCCUUGCAACUUGUCAGGAAAAAUCGUAAAAGAUCCAACUCAUUGACAGCUGCAAUUAAGGGUACAUUUCUAUGUUCACAUGUUGGUGUUAGAUAAUAACAACACAACAAAAAAAAUAAUAGCAAAGAGAAAUUAAAAUAAAAAUAAUCACAUUGACACAAAAUUUAUGUGGUUAACCCAAACAUUACAGUCGGUGUAGAAUAAGCAAUAGGGUAUACUGAGUUAUAACCAUAUGUGGGUAUUGCGUAUAGGUCGACCCUAAUUUUCUAUUAUGUUUUUUGCAUUGGUAGUGUUUAUGCAAGACACACCUUCCGAUUUAUACAUGCAUUUAGAUUCGCUGUCCGAUGUGUGAUUUGCAUGUGUGACAUUAUUUUGACUUGUCUGUGUGACAAGGUUCUAUUUUGUUUUGAGCUCGGUAUGAAAUAACCAUUUAGCCACAUUGAUUCAAUAUUUUGUUUGUUUUGUUAAUUAUGUUGAUUCAGAUAUAUUCAAAUUUUGAAUAUUAUAUUAUUGGCGUUAUUUAUGUUUGAGACUUUGCUCAAUAUUUUGUCAGUUGAUUUCGUUUUUAAGUUGCGCAUCUUUUGUAUAUCUUUAUUUGUAUUGGACAAUUUGUUCAUGCUGUAUUAUUUUUUCGACAUGUUUGCAGAGGAGAUUUAGGGUUUUGUGUGAAGAGAACUACAUGUGACCAUCUAGGUUUAUUUAAUUUUAGAUUUUGAUUAUUCUGCCAAUUUUUAAAGAAUUGUAUUUAGCAAAAAUCACUUUUACCCCAAUGUGGUUGUAGUGUUUUAAGCAAUUGCCACUGUAUUUUUAAAAUAUUCAAUUAGCUCACUGUACUUUUUAAAAAUAUUCAAUCAACCCAUUUCGUCCAAUUUGAGUAACCGACGUUAACAAAUCAGCUUGGAUUGCUUAUGUGGCUUUUUAAAAAAAAUAAAUAAUUAAAAUAAAUAUUUUAAUUCAUUUUUAAUAACUUUUUCAUUUCCUAUUUUCUUUCUCCUUCAAAAUGAAUAAAUAAGCCUAAAUAAAAUAAUAAAUAAAAAUAUAAUUUUGCUAAGUAUAAGACCAAUUUUUUUAAAAAAAAAAUUUAGACAAAAAAGAAAUAAUGCAAAUUACACACAUAAAUAAAACAUUAGUUAUCCUCAUUUUUUCCUAAUUAAUUCAAACUCAAACCCCCCUACUUACUGUUCAUCUUCUUCCUCACCAAACUGGAAUUCGUUGACCCACCACCACCAAUCGCCUACCCAAAGCCAUAGAAUCCGGUCAGAACAAUCCAGAAUUAAACUGGUGAUUGACGAACCCAUAGCAUCAGAAAUCCAAUACCCAACACCAGAUCAAAAUAAAAAACAGCCGAUUAACCAAACAAUUUCAUAUUAAAUCCACAACAAAUUUGAGGGAGGGGAAGGAGGAGAUGUCAUUUUUUCCUCUCCUUUCUCUACCACUGGUGAAAUAAGAAUUUUGUAGAAGAGGCAAGAAUGAGCAAUUUCAGAUUUGUGUGUCGUAUGAUCGAGCAAUAUAUCUCUAUAAUUCAUCCAGAUUAGAGAUUUAGAUAGAUACUUAACAAGAAAUUUGGGAUUCAACGAGAGAGGUAGAGGGGCUACGGAGAGAGCACUCAUCUAUGGUCUGUGAUGGUGAAGAUAAGGAUACAUCGCUGAUGAGACAAGAGAG
This 1978-nucleotide long non-coding RNA is filed under the name Panax ginseng (ginseng). RNAcentral describes it as "long non-coding RNA (PGIN_LNC016346)". Lineage: Eukaryota; Viridiplantae; Streptophyta; Magnoliopsida; Apiales; Araliaceae. The record is from RNAcentral.